Molecule: ribosomal RNA, 344 nt
Filed under: Saccharomyces cerevisiae (brewer's yeast)
Lineage: Eukaryota; Fungi; Ascomycota; Saccharomycetes; Saccharomycetales; Saccharomycetaceae
Description: eukaryotic LSU rRNA
Rfam family: Eukaryotic large subunit ribosomal RNA
Source: RNAcentral
CCGGGAUUGCCUUAGUACGGCGAGUGAAGCGGCAAAAGCUCAAAUUUGAAAUCUCGGUACCUUCGGUGCCCGAGUUGUAAUUUGGAGAGGGCAACUUUGGGGCCGUUCCUUGUCUAUGUUCCUUGGAACAGGACGUCAUAGAGGGUGAGAAUCCCGUGUGGCGAGGAGUGCGGUUCUUUGUAAAGUGCCUUCGAAGAGUCGAGUUGUUUGGGAAUGCAGCUCUAAGUGGGUGGUAAAUUCCAUCUAAAGCUAAAUAUUGGCGAGAGACCGAUAGCGAACAAGUACAGUGAUGGAAAGAUGAAAAGAACUUUGAAAAGAGAGUGAAAAAGUACGUGAAAUUGUUG